UAUUGCACAAUGGGGGAAACCCUGAUGCAGCAACGCCGCGUGAGUGAGGAAGUAUUUCGGUANGUAAAGCUCUAUCAGCAGGGGANNACNNNGNAGGUACCUGAAAAAGAAGCCCCGGCUAACUACGUGCNNNCNGCCGCGGUAAUACGUAGGGGGCAAGCGUUAUCCGGAUUUACUGGGUGUAAAGGGAGCGUAGACGGAAAGGCAAGUCAGAAGUGAAAGCCCAAGGCUCAACCAUGGGACUGCUUUUGAAACUGUCAAACUAGAGUACGGGAGAGGUAAGAGGAAUUCCUAGUGUAGCGGUGAAAUGCGUAGAUAUUAGGAGGAACACCAGUGGCGAAGGCGUCUUACUGGACCGAAACUGACGUUGAGGCUCGAAAGCGUGGGGAGCAAACAGG
RNAcentral lists this ribosomal RNA (398 nucleotides) under uncultured bacterium. RNAcentral's name for it is "partial 16S ribosomal RNA". It matches the Rfam family "Bacterial small subunit ribosomal RNA", at positions 362 to 776 of the family's 1533-position model. The record is from RNAcentral.